CCUAUAAUUCAGGGGGGCUAAUAAUUCUGACUUCAACUGUAUAUGCAUUUUAGGUGUUUCAUGCAAUCUGUAAACACACAAACACACUGUAAACACACGUAUGGUUAAGUGAAUUGUCAGGACAUAGUGAGUUUCCAUUGUUUACACACUACAAAUGGCAUUUCCUAUCACCCUACCUCAAACCUUAACCCAACCCCCACAGGAAACUGUUUUUACUUUCUUUUUGAAGAUGAAAAAAAAACUCAUUCUGCCUUAUUUACAAUUACAAGCCUUUUGAAAAUAGGGAAAGGGGCAAUGUCCUCAUAAGUCAUAUUUUCCUUGUAAUACCAGUCUCGUAAUUAUACAAAAUGUGUCCUAAUAUUUCUCUCACACACACUAAGAUCAACAGUGCUCCCUCAAAAAUGGUAAAUGGUUAGGAAAAUUAUCUUAAUUGCACUACAUAACACAAAUAAAAUUGAUGGUUUUACUGUUUUUAACAUUAGUGUUUGUGUUAGAUAUUUUAUGAAAUGCAGUUUCCCAAAGUCUCCCAUAUAUCAUUAUGACAGGUGUAACGAUGUGUAACUUCAUAACACUGUAAACAUAUACUGUGUAUUUAAUCAUCUCUAAAUAUAUAGUAUUAUAACAGUGUUAUACAGCAAACUCUGCACGCUGUUUGGAAGAAACAUCCUCGAAAGACGUGUUUUGAUGGGGGAGGGGCUUCGUAUGCAAAUGAGGCAAACAUGUGAAAGGCGUUUCUCCCAGUACAUGCAGAAGCUCAUUUUCUCAGAAACACACUGCCGUCUUCCAUAGCUGAUCUGCUGAUAACAACAUUAAAGGGAAGAUAUACCCAACAGGUAGGCCUGACGUGUUUCUUUAAAGUAUUUAACAAGCAACAUCUUUUUUUAAAUUUAUGUUUAUUUAGCUAAAAUGGAGCAGCUUUCACUUGUUUUCUUGUGCAUAGAUGCAGUUCAGAGCAUCCAAUUCAUUCUUUUUCUCUUUGUCUUAGUCUCUUUAAUAAUCCGGGCUCGCUACAGCGGAAUAAACCGCCAACUUAUCCAGCAAAUGUUUUACGCAGUGGAUGUAAAUCACUGGGAAACACCCAUAUGCUCUUGCAUUCACACUCAUAUAUAAUACUGUUAUUUUCCUCAAGCUUCCUCAAGUAAAGUCUCCGCGCCUGGGGCCACGACCAGACCAGGCCACUUCAUACCAGCAGAGCAGUUUGACUGAAGAAACAUUGAACAAAUUUAUGCAGUUAAUAAUUUAUAAAUAACACUAGCAAUAAAAAAGCUACUGAUUGCAUCUUUGUUCCCAAGGUCUUUGUUUGGAUGGGAAAUGAUCAGGUGAGGACCCCAAUUUUCACCAAUUUAGCAGCCUAAUUUAAUGAAUCAGAUCCUGCCAGAUAAGAGGACCCCUAUUGUUACAGUGAAGCAGAGCUUUGAAUUUCCCACCUUCACAGGCUGACUCUUGGGGUGGGAACCUGACCAUGAAGUUCUGACCCACUGCAUCGGGCCAUGGCUCGUCUGAAAAUGUAAUAGGAUUGAUCUAAUGUUACACCAAGAUGACUAAAUGCUGCCACUGUGUGCUGUCUCCCAUUGUUUACCUCUAUCACCCAUGUUUGAACCCUUUUUUAGAAAAACUAGAUGUCCAGAAAACUUUUCAAACCUCAGAAACCUUUGACAGAUUCAGUUUAUUUCCUGCUCAAUUGUAAAACCCAAGAAUAAAACGAAUUUAUAAAAAC
This is a non-coding RNA of Danio rerio (zebrafish), 1717 nucleotides long. The record is from RefSeq and is a predicted model, not a curated record. NCBI's taxonomy places the organism in Eukaryota, Metazoa, Chordata, Actinopteri, Cypriniformes, Danionidae.